Heterocephalus glaber (naked mole-rat) is the source of this 95-nucleotide small nuclear RNA. The record is from Ensembl. NCBI's taxonomy places the organism in Eukaryota, Metazoa, Chordata, Mammalia, Rodentia, Bathyergidae.
CUUCUUAUGCCGCAUAGAAGUUCUUUUUCCAGAGAAGAUUAGCGUGGUCCCUGUGCAAGGGUGACAUACAAAUUCGAGAAGGAUUCCAUAUUUUA